AUUGAACGCUAGCGGGAUGCCUUACACAUGCAAGUCGAACGGAGUGGCGAACGGGUGAGUAAUGUAUCGGAACGUGCCCAGUAGCGGGGGAUAACUAAGAGAAAGCGUAGCUAAUACCGCAUACUCUUGGAGCGGACGUUAUCGGAUUGGCUAGUUGGUGGGGGAACGGCUCACCAAGGCGACGAUCCGUAGCUGGGUUGAGAGGACGACCAGCCACACUGGGACUGAGAAACGGCCCAGACUCCUACGUGAGGCAGCAGUGGGGAAUUGUGGACAAGGGGGUAAACCCUGAUCCAGCCAUCCCGCGUGUGCGAUGAAGGCCUUCGGGUUGUAAAGCACUUUUGGCAGGAAAGCGGUACCUGCAGAAUAAGCACCGGCUAACUACGUGCCAGCAGCCGCGGUAAUAC
RNAcentral lists this ribosomal RNA (407 nucleotides) under uncultured bacterium. RNAcentral's name for it is "partial 16S ribosomal RNA". It matches the Rfam family "Bacterial small subunit ribosomal RNA", at positions 30 to 526 of the family's 1533-position model. The record is from RNAcentral.